GGCGGCAGGCCUAACACAUGCAAGUCGAGCGGAAACGAGUUAUCUGAACCUUCGGGGAACGAUAACGGCGUCGAGCGGCGGACGGGUGAGUAAUGCCUAGGAAAUUGCCCUGAUGUGGGGGAUAACCAUUGGAAACGAUGGCUAAUACCGCAUGAUGCCUACGGGCCAAAGAGGGGGACCUUCGGGCCUCUCGCGUCAGGAUAUGCCUAGGUGGGAUUAGCUAGUUGGUGAGGUAAGGGCUCACCAAGGCGACGAUCCCUAGCUGGUCUGAGAGGAUGAUCAGCCACACUGGAACUGAGACACGGUCCAGACUCCUACGGGAGGCAGCAGUGGGGAAUAUUGCACAAUGGGCGCAAGCCUGAUGCAGCCAUGCCGCGUGUGUGAAGAAGGCCUUCGGGUUGUAAAGCACUUUCAGUCGUGAGGAAGGUAGUGUAGUUAAUAGCUGCAUUAUUUGACGUUAGCGACAGAAGAAGCACCGGCUAACUCC
Molecule: ribosomal RNA, 487 nt
Filed under: marine sediment bacterium ISA-6330
Lineage: Bacteria
Description: bacterial SSU rRNA
Rfam family: Bacterial small subunit ribosomal RNA
Source: RNAcentral